Molecule: ribosomal RNA, 541 nt
Filed under: uncultured archaeon
Lineage: Archaea
Description: bacterial SSU rRNA
Rfam family: Archaeal small subunit ribosomal RNA
Source: RNAcentral
CGGGGUGCAGCAGGCGCGAAAACUUUACAAUGCGGGAAACCGUGAUAAGGGGACACCGAGUGCCAGCAUCAUAUGCUGGCUGUCCGGGUGUGUAAAAUACACCCGUUAGCAAGGGCCGGGCAAGACCGGUGCCAGCCGCCGCGGUAACACCGGCGGCCCGAGUGGUGAUCGUGAUUAUUGGGUCUAAAGGGUCCGUAGCCGGUUUGGUCAGUCCUCCGGGAAAUCUGACGGCUCAACCGUUAGGCUUUCGGGGGAUACUGCCAGGCUUGGAACCGGGAGAGGUAAGAGGUACUACAGGGGUAGGAGUGAAAUCUUGUAAUCCCUGUGAGACCACCUGUGGCGAAGGCGUCUUACCAGAACGGGUUCGACGGUGAGGGACGAAAGCUGGGGGCACGAACCGGAUUAGAUACCCGGGUAGUCCCAGCCGUAAACGAUGCUCGCUAGGUGUCAGGCAUGGCGCGACCGUGUCUGGUGCCGCAGGGAAGCCGUGAAGCGAGCCACCUGGGAAGUACGGCCGCAAGGCUGAAACUUAAAGGAAUGG